This 445-nucleotide ribosomal RNA is filed under the name uncultured bacterium. RNAcentral's name for it is "partial 16S ribosomal RNA". It matches the Rfam family "Bacterial small subunit ribosomal RNA", at positions 354 to 796 of the family's 1533-position model. The record is from RNAcentral.
GUGAGGAAUAUUGGACAAUGGGCGCAAGCCUGAUCCAGCCAUGCCGCGUGCAGGAAGACGCAUCUAUGGUGUGUAAACUGCUUUUGUACGGGAAGAAACACUCCCUCGUGAGGGAGCUUGACGGUACCGUAAGAAUAAGGAUCGGCUAACUCCGUGCCAGCAGCCGCGGUAAUACGGAGGAUCCAAGCGUUAUCCGGAAUCAUUGGGUUUAAAGGGUCCGUAGGCGGUUUAAUAAGUCAGUGGUGAAAGCCCAUCGCUCAACGAUGGAACGGCCAUUGAUACUGUUAGACUUGAAUUACAAGGAAGUAACUAGAAUAUGUAGUGUAGCGGUGAAAUGCUUAGAUAUUACAUGGAAUACCAAUUGCGAAGGCAGGUUACUACUUGUGGAUUGACGCUGAUGGACGAAAGCGUGGGGAGCGAACAGGAUUAGAUACCCGGGUAGUCC